GAAGCUACAGUGCUAAGCACUAAAACGCCGACUCCCCUCUCCUUUCCUCCCGAUCUCGUCGACGGACUCGAUCUCGACGCACGCUCGCGCCUGAUCACCGGCGCCUUGUCGCGGAUCGAGCCUCCGAGCUUCUCAACCCCUUAACAGAGGUCGCGACGGUGGAGCCUUCUUCAGAGAGCCGUAGCACGCGAAGAAUCUCCGGCCGGAAGGAACAGGUCUGAGCUCUGGAGUUGCUGAGGAAGAAUCGCCGAUCCCUAGGGCCCGAUCUUGGUGAGAAGUACUCCAAACGGUGGGUUCGAUUUCCAGAGCUCUAAAGCUGAGUUUCUCCAUCGAGAUCUCUGUGCCGGUUGAGGUGUUUCCUGUCGUGGAGGUAAAUUGAGUGGCUCACUGAGAGGGGCUCGGCCACGACUUCCAGCAGCUGGUUUGCCUCCGGGAAACAGUAGUCUCGUGGAGGCUCUGAAUGGUGAAUUUGUGGCAGUAGGCAGCACCAGCGUGCCAGCGCUGGCUACCACAUCUCUCGACAGUGAGUCGACAGUGAGGAGUUGUGGUAAGGACUUUGAUCGGGAUGAGCGUCGCGACGAGAUAGACGUCGGAUU
Molecule: long non-coding RNA, 596 nt
Organism: Zingiber officinale
Lineage: Eukaryota; Viridiplantae; Streptophyta; Magnoliopsida; Zingiberales; Zingiberaceae
Exons: 4
Source: RefSeq, a predicted model, not a curated record